UAGUAGUAGGUAGAACCCUAGCUAGCAAACCAAGACGGGGUCUCCGAUCUCGCGCAAUUCCCCUUGUAUCCCGCAAAUUACUCUUGAUUUAUGCUGGAAAAUACUCAAAUUCGUGAUGAUCCUGUCGACGAGUUGAUUUGAUCCUCACAGAGGCCGCGUAUGGCGGCAGGGAGUUCCUGUUCGACUUCCGGUGGAUGGUGCGCAUCGAUGCUGGCACCACCGAGGAGGUCGCCAUGGGCUGGAUUGAUGACUGCAGGACCUGCUUCUUCCCUGUGCCAGAGAGCGGGAGGAAGAGGAAGAGGGGCGAGCCUGAGCUGGAGGAUGGGGCGUCGUUCGGGGUGGAUGAGAGGUCCGACGAGAACAGCGACACGGUGGAGUCCUCAAUCUAGCCUAAUCUCCUGCCUCUCUCAAGCACUCCCCGUGUAGCAGGCCUGGUGUGUAGACUGCCAUGGCAAGGCUACAUCCAUUCAUUAUGGUCAGCAAGGCGGCCAGCUUGGGGCAAGGCAGUGAGGCUGGAGGAGACGGACAAGUUCUACUAGGUUGUUACUUGUCAAGAAGCUCUUCCUCAGAGGGAUAGCACCGGGUGGGAGGCGGCGUGGCGAUCACGGCGAUGCACAAGGUCUUGCAGGGUCCCCGGUCCAGGGCGUUCCAGAUGCAGGGCCAGCUCCUAGCCGCUGCGCGCGGCGCCGACGAGGGCAAUGCCAAGUUCGCGUGGUAUGGCGCUCCGUCGGCGGAUGUGGCCGCGGCGGUGGAGCAUGGGUUCGGCAGGAUGAACAGCCAGGUCCUUUGCCAUCACGCGCACGGCGAUGACGUCCACCUCUCGCCUGGUUCUUGAUUGUUGAGUAAUUCCUGUUAGUUGUUGCUGAAUUAGGGACUUGAUUCAUGUUGGUUGCUGAAUUGAUUUAUGUCUUAUGUAUACUUGAUUCCGUAGAUUAAUAUCUCUUUUGGUUGGCAAGAAUGGAUCAGACGUAUUUUUGUUUGAAGUUAAGAUUUUUCUUCGCGGGCUAGCGCAAAUCUUCUGCAGGACUACCUCCCCUCUGCAAACCAAUUGAUAUCAAAUAGUGGGACUGAAUUAUUGAUAAUAUUCAGAACUCUAGAAUGGAUAUUUGUACAUUUCAUCGUCUUCAGUAAUACAUAAUAAUGAUUGUUGAUGCCACCAACCCCAACUUGUGAUAAUGAUAUUGAAUUGUUUUAAUUUGGUUGUGUACUCAAAUUUGAAAGCAUUCUACUUUAUUUAUGUCCUGUACAGAUGUACCUGCAGCAUAACUAUUUGAGAUAUGCCACUACAGUAUUAUCAGUCCUUUCAUGUCUCUGAAACGGGGCUUUACACUCUGUGUGUUCUUAUUGUACAUCAACAACAAGAGCAGAGGAAGGCUACUGAUGCAUUUGAGUUCUAUUCUUAUUUCAAAGAAAGUCAUCAAGUUGAUGCAUGUGAGUUCUUGGAUCUAAAGCAUAAUACAAUGAAAGGUAAUUUUUUAUGAAUAGGAAGAUUGACUAAGGGAGGAUUAUGUAUUGAGGUAGGGAAAGUUGUUGUCGUGCGGCCAUAUAGAGAAAUCCUCACCUUGAAGAAUGAAACAAAUGGUAAUCAAAGAUGUUCUUUCUACCAAAGAACCAGGCUGUGCCGAGGUAGUGGUGUGGUUCCGAUGAUGGUGGCGAGGCUAAAAUAAGGGAGAUGACUUGGAGUUAUUUUAAGCAUGAGUUGUGUACUGUUAGACGAUUCCGAGAGAGCAAAGAGUGAGUUGAGAGGGAUGGAGAGAGCACAGAAGGGAAGGAGAAAGGAAUAGGGAGGCGCGGCGGUGGUUGGUUCUCCGGCGGCACUGGAUCGGGCACGGGCGCAGAGCUCCUGCUCGGGGACGCGAAGAUCCAGGGAGGCACUCUCCCAUUCAGUUACCCUUACUAUCGGUUCCUAGGUGCAGCCCCGGCCGCCAUCGCCUGAACGGCGCUGACGCGUGCUUCUCCCCAGGGAGGGCCAUGCCACUGCAGAUGAAACUGAAUCCACUUCCGAGCCGGCGGACAUGACAUGGUUGGUUUCACGGGAUUGACUCGGCUACCUACAGAAGUGCCACCAAUCUGAACCAAGCUGUUGCGUCAAGGCAUGUAGGUUGAUUCAUAUGAUUCUUCAGCGGCAGCAAGUUUUCCAUGUACAUUCCUUCCUAUAAGCGACGGGUGCGACACACACCUCCAACCAACGCUUUCCCCGGUGAUCCCCGGCCACGAGCAUGUCUAUCCCCUACAAGCCGCUACCAGUGCUCCCUCUCCGCUGGAUGCGGCAAGGUCGUGCGAGUGUUCUGUAGCUCGGCGCUGCACCAUGGGCACAGGAUCGUCGCCCUCAUGGCCACAGCCGCAAACUUCGUGUCUGGCCUGCUUAUCCUCACCACUUUCAGAAUCGGAGGCAGUGCAUGACUGGUGACCAGUGUCCGACUUUGAUCGUCGACGCUGAUGAUGGAUUCAAGCACUCAACCAUAUUCUUGGUACAGCACCACUGGGGACUUAGCAAAACUGCUUUUUAGCCAUUAACAUCCAAGUCCUAGAUAUUGUUAUGGCAUAAAUUUUGACGGUUAGGAUUUUAACAAGGUGCAGAGCUGUGUAGGUUGAGACGACAGAGAUAAUAGUAUGCUAAAUGUGUAGACAUAGUUUGACAAUUUUGCUGAAAGAUAGUACUCCCUUUAGUAAAAAAGAUGUCCUGAAUAAGCUCUAAUAUGACAUCAUGAUUGUUACCAGUUGUUCCGAAGAACAAGUGCUACAUCAUCAGGAUUCACACCUCGUCAGAUCCAAGAUCUUUGAUUUCCUGUUGUUUGGAAGGGAUCCAUUAGUCGCCGCCACUGUUCAAGUUAGAUGUAACACAAUAUGUAAAGCUCCAUUAUUGCGAUUCAAAGACUCCAUCAUGGAGUAUUUUUUGUUGUAGCUUCUAGGUUAAUUUUUUAUGUGGUCGGCAUAACACCUAAUUCAUAAUGAAGUAAUUUUAAAUAA
Triticum dicoccoides is the source of this 2970-nucleotide long non-coding RNA. RefSeq lists it as uncharacterized. The transcript has 8 exons. NCBI's taxonomy places the organism in Eukaryota, Viridiplantae, Streptophyta, Magnoliopsida, Poales, Poaceae. The record is from RefSeq and is a predicted model, not a curated record.